GUUAGUGCAUUAGAUUCCUGGGCAACUGCAUCUAGUAGAGUUGACUUAACACCAAGCAAAUCUCCUUUCUAGUCUAGGACUUAUAGCUUUGGAAAUUAAAUUAGUCCUGCAACUCCCCUAGCUGCACAUGAAUGCACAGAGAAGGCCCUCGCUCGGGUUCUUUGACAUCGACUCGGUUGCUAGGAAGAAUGCGGGCUUAGAGCCAAUAGAACUAGUGUUCCUUCGUCACCCUCUAGCGUACCGAACUUGUGAAAAGCAUGAUUUAAGAUAUGCACGGACAAAAGUAGCUGCUUAGGUUGCAUAUAUAAGAAUAGGAAUCGAAUCCACAGCUAUUGAUAUUGAAUCCGCUGUUCUCACCUUAAAAGCUGGGUAAGCCAAGGGGGGACUUUGAACUGUUAAGAGGUGCCUAGCGCUUUCAUCAAUAUGAAAGAGGAAGCUUCUGGGCUGUACCUGUACAACUAGGGAUUGGGGGACGUUGAAUAGUAAACUAAACGAAGAUGACGCUGUCCAAUUGGCCGAACGGAAGAUCGACAUGAGAAGCCGAUGUUCUUGGUACAGAAUCCCAUGCAGAUUUCUUAACUGUUUUGUUAGGCAUUGGCAUGAGCAAGAAAGCAGACAAGAGGAAAUCAGAAGAACGAGGAUUUGAAUCGCCUAUUCUUUCCUCUUCUUGUUUGCAAGAAAAAAAAAGUAACUAAACUAAACAGUAGACAGUAAACAGGAGGCAUAGUAGCAGAAAAUGAAAGAUGCCCAUCCUAUUGUAUUUGCAUUUGGAAAGAAAGAAGAAGAUAGGCUCUUUAUUCUUUUAUAGAAUCCUUUCUUAAAGUUAAGUUAAUCCGAAAAUGGUAAAUUGCGUAUAGUAUAUAAGAAAGAUAUCCACUCUAGCUUUUUAGGAAGAACACUGUUUGCAAGAUCCGGUCUUAGUGAGAGAGUUGGGAUUGAGCUUUCACUAAUACUAAUAGAAGAAUUUUUAGUAAAGGGAGGAAAGAGCUAGGUCUCAUAUAGAAGAAGGGGUUUUUUCGCUUUUCGACAGGAGAUGAUACAUAAGCGCUCUUGGUCUUCUAUCCGUAUCCGCUGCUCUUAGCUUAGUUAGAAUCCAAUGUUAGAAGUAAGAAUUCAAUAGGCAUCCCAAUAUCCGUUUUCUUAGAUAGAUAAGAGAUCAGCUACAGUAAUGGUCAUACCCCUCCUCCCCCUCGAUUUGAGGAAGAAAUCUCAAGUAUUCGCCUACGAGGUCUUCACAUAAUAGGUUGAAAAAAUCCUUUUUAGGGAGAAGUUGUUGAUACACAGCUAUUGAUAUUGAAUCCGCUGUUCUCACCUAAAAAGUUGGGUAAGCCAAGGGGGGACUUUGAACUGUUAAGAGGUGCCUAGCGCUUUCAUCAAUAUGAAAGAGGAAGCUUCUGGGCUGUACCUGUACAACUAGGGAUUGGGGGACGUUGAAUAGUAAACUAAACGAAGAUGACGCUGUCCAAUUGGCCGAACGGAAGAUCGACAUGAGAAGCCGAUGUUCUUGGUACAGAAUCCCAUGCAGAUUUCUUAACUGUUUUGUUAGGCAUUGGCAUGAGCA
This 1561-nucleotide long non-coding RNA is filed under the name Nicotiana benthamiana. Its description in RNAcentral is "long non-coding RNA (NBEN_LNC012250)". The record is from RNAcentral. Lineage: Eukaryota; Viridiplantae; Streptophyta; Magnoliopsida; Solanales; Solanaceae.